UGAUAGAGAGUCGUGGAGGUAGAGCACUGGAUCGGCUAGGGGGCUUACCCGCUUACCAAACCGAACCAAACUCCGAAUGCCAUAGACUUGUUUCAAGGGAGUCAGCGUGCGAGGGAUAAACUCCGUACGCGAGAGGGAAACAACCCAGACCGUCAGCUAAGGUCCCUAAGUGUAGGCUAAGUGAUUAAAAGGAUGUGAGAUUGCUGAGACAGCUAGGAUGUUGGCUUAGAAACAGCCACCAUUUAAAGAGUACGUAACAGUUCACUAGUCAAGUGAUUUCGCGCCGACAAUGUAUCGGGGCUAAGUUUACCACCGAAGCUACGGACUCAGUGACCGCUUGCGGUCGCUGUUUGGUAGGGGAGCGUUCCAUAGUAGGCUGAAGGUAAACCGUAAGGUUUGCUGGACGAGAUGGAAGUGAUUAUGUCGGCAUGAGUAGCGAUAAUGCGGGUGAGAAUCCCGCACACCGAAAAUCUAAGGUUUCCUGGGCUAGGCUCGUCCUCCUGGGGUUAGUCGGGACCUAAGCUGAGGCCGAAAGGCGUAGGCGAUGGAAAACAGGCUAAAUAUUCCUGUACCACUUACAGCGUGUUUGAGCUAUGGGGUGACGCAGAAGUGAAAGGUCAGCCAGCGAUUGGAAAUGCUGGUCUAAGCCUGUAGGAGGGUCGUCUAGGUAAAUCCGGAUGACCACUACUCUGAGAGGCGAUGGGGAGCCGCUUAGCGGCAUAAACUGACCCUAAUCAUGCUGCCAAGAAAAACCUCUAUGUGAAUUCUGUAGGUGCCCGUACCGCAAACCGACACAGGUAGAUGAGGAGAGUAUCCAAAGGUGCGCGAGUGAACCCUCGUUAAGGAAUUCGGCAAAAUAAUCCCGUAACUUCGGAAGAUGGGAUGCCCUAAGUAGGUGAUGCCCCUCGCGGGUGGAGCCCAAAGGGGCCGCAGAGAAACGGGCUGGGCGACUGUUUACCAAAAACACAGGUCUCUGCUAAGCCGUAAGGCAAUGUAUAGGGACUGACACGUGCCCGGUGCCGGUAAGUUAAGAGGAUGAGUUAGUCUUCGGACGAAGCUUUGAAUCGAAGCUCCGGUAAACGGCGGCCGUAACUAUAACGGUCCUAAGGUAGCGAAAUUCCUCGUCGGCUAAAAACCGACCUGCACGAAUCGUGUAACGACUUGGCCGCUGUCUCAACGAGGGACUCGGUGAAAUUGUAGUUCCGGUGAAGAUGCCGGAUACCCGCGGCAGGACAGAAAGACCCCGUGAACCUUUACUAUAGCUUGGUAUUGGAUUUUGACACUGUAUGUGUAGGAUAGGUGGGAGGCUUUGAAGCGGGAGCGCCAGCUCUCGUGGAGCCAAUCUUGAAAUACCACCCUUGCCUUGUUAAAAUUCUAACCUAAUCCCUUGAUCGGGAUUGGAGACAGUGCCAGGUGGGUAGUUUAACUGGGGCGGUUGCCUCCUAAAGCGUAACGGAGGCGCCCAAUGGUUCCCUCAGCGCGGUCGGUAAUCGCGCGUAGAGUGUAAAGGCAUACAGGGAGCUUGACUGCGAGACUUACAAGUCGAGCAGGUGCGAAAGCAGGGCUUAGUGAUCCGACGGUUGCAUGUGGAAGCGCCGAAGCUCAACGGAUAAAAGGUACUCCGGGGAUAACAGGCUUAUUGCCCCCAAGCGCUCAUAGCGACGGGGCAGUUUGGCACCUCGAUGUCGGCUCAGCGCAUCCUGGGGCUGGAGAAGGUCCCAAGGGUUUGGCUGUUCGCCAAUUAAAGCGCUACGCGAGCUGGGUUCAGAACGUCGUGAGACAGUUCGGUCCCUAUCCGCCGUGGGUGUAGGA
RNAcentral lists this ribosomal RNA (1812 nucleotides) under marine metagenome. RNAcentral describes it as "bacterial LSU rRNA". It matches the Rfam family "Bacterial large subunit ribosomal RNA", at positions 885 to 2658 of the family's 2925-position model. The record is from RNAcentral.